Molecule: ribosomal RNA, 450 nt
Filed under: uncultured bacterium
Lineage: Bacteria
Description: bacterial SSU rRNA
Rfam family: Bacterial small subunit ribosomal RNA
Source: RNAcentral
AACGAACGCUGGCGGCAGGCCUAACACAUGCAAGUCGAGCGGGGACUUCGGUCCUAGCGGCGGACGGGUGAGUAACGCGUGGGAACGUGCCCUUUGCUUCGGAAUAGCCCCUGGAAACGGGGAGUAAUACCGGAUGUGCCCUUUGGGGGAAAGAUUUAUCGGCAAAGGAUCGGCCCGCGUUGGAUUAGGUAGUUGGUGGGGUAAUGGCCUACCAAGCCGACGAUCCAUAGCUGGUUUGAGAGGAUGAUCAGCCACACUGGGACUGAGACACGGCCCAGACUCCUACGGGAGGCAGCAGUGGGGAAUCUUAGACAAUGGGCGCAAGCCUGAUCUAGCCAUGCCGCGUGAGCGAUGAAGGCCUUAGGGUUGUAAAGCUCUUUCGUGGGGGGAAGAUAAUGACGGUACCCCAAGAAGAAGCCCCGGCUAACUUCGUGCCAGCAGCCGCGGAAU